This 269-nucleotide ribosomal RNA is filed under the name uncultured prokaryote. RNAcentral's name for it is "partial 16S ribosomal RNA". It matches the Rfam family "Bacterial small subunit ribosomal RNA", at positions 524 to 792 of the family's 1533-position model. The record is from RNAcentral.
UACGGAGGGUGCAAGCGUUAAUCGGAAUCACUGGGCGUAAAGCGCACGCAGGCGGUUUGUUAAGUCAGAUGUGAAAGCCCCGGGCUCAACCUGGGAACUGCAUUUGAUACUGACAGACUAGAGUAUGAGAGAGAGAAGUGGAAUUCCACAUGUAGCGGUGAAAUGCGUAGAGAUGUGGAGGAACAUCAGUGGCGAAGGCGACUUCUUGGCUCAAUACUGACGCUCAGGUGCGAAAGCGUGGGGAGCAAACAGGAUUAGAUACCCGCGUA